GUGCUCCCUUUGGCAACACAUACACUAAAAUUGGAAUAAUAACAGAGAAGAUUAGCAUGGCCUCUGUGCAAGGAUGAUAUGCAGAUUCCUGAAGUGUGCCAUAAAAAA
Perognathus longimembris pacificus (Pacific pocket mouse) is the source of this 108-nucleotide small nuclear RNA. Lineage: Eukaryota; Metazoa; Chordata; Mammalia; Rodentia; Heteromyidae. The record is from RefSeq and is a predicted model, not a curated record.